GGUGGCUCAGUGGAUAGAGUGCUUGCCUUGCAUGCAUGAGGCCCUGGGUUCGAUUCCUCAGCACCA
Molecule: transfer RNA, 66 nt
Filed under: Dipodomys ordii (Ord's kangaroo rat)
Lineage: Eukaryota; Metazoa; Chordata; Mammalia; Rodentia; Heteromyidae
Rfam family: tRNA
About the family: Transfer RNA (tRNA) molecules are approximately 80 nucleotides in length. Their secondary structure includes four short double-helical elements and three loops (D, anti-codon, and T loops).
Source: Rfam by way of RNAcentral